This 77-nucleotide transfer RNA is filed under the name bacterium. RNAcentral's name for it is "tRNA-Met". It matches the Rfam family "tRNA". From Rfam's summary of the family: Transfer RNA (tRNA) molecules are approximately 80 nucleotides in length. The record is from RNAcentral. RNAcentral also lists the same sequence under 6 other names.
CGCGGGGUGGAGCAGUCUGGUAGCUCGGCGGGCUCAUAACCCGCAGGUCGAGGGUUCAAAUCCCUCCCCCGCACCCA